AAGUUCCUACGGGGGGCAGCAGUGGGGGAUAUUGCACAAUGGGGGGAACCCUGAUGCAGCGACGCCGCGUGGGCGAUGGAGUGCUUCGGCAUGUAAAGCCCUAUCAGCAGGGAAGAAAAUGACGGUACCUGACUAAGAAGCCCCGGCUAACUACGUGCCAGCAGCCGCGGUAAUACGUAGGGGGCAAGCGUUAUCCGGAUUUACUGGGUGUAAAGGGAGCGUAGACGGCGCGGCAAGUCUGAAGUGAAAGGCAGGGGCUUAACCCCUGAACUGCUUUGGAAACUGCCAUGCUAGAGUGCUGGAGG
This 305-nucleotide ribosomal RNA is filed under the name uncultured bacterium. Its description in RNAcentral is "bacterial SSU rRNA". It matches the Rfam family "Bacterial small subunit ribosomal RNA", at positions 333 to 655 of the family's 1533-position model. The record is from RNAcentral.